UCUCCGUUGGUGAACCAGCGGAGGGAUCAUUACAGAGAACAGACGCCGCGCCGGUCCUCCGGGGCCGUCGCGUCUAUGUCCUGCACACUUGUUGUAUUACCGCCUGCCGGGCCGUGUUGCCUCGGCGGGGUGCGCCCUCCGUCCGCGGGGAUGGGGGCAGCCUGCCGGUGGACCUCACCAAAACUCUUGUUGUUAUAUUGUCAUUCUGAAUUUAAAAACUUAAUCAGUUAAAACUUUCAACAACGGAUCUCUUGGUUCUGGCAUCGAUGAAGAACGCAGC
RNAcentral lists this unclassified non-coding RNA (280 nucleotides) under uncultured fungus. RNAcentral describes it as "sequence contains ITS1, 5.8S rRNA gene". The stretch from base 232 to 280 matches the Rfam family "5.8S ribosomal RNA", at positions 1 to 49 of the family's 154-position model. Lineage: Eukaryota; Fungi. The record is from RNAcentral.